GACGAACGCUGGCGGCGUGCCUAAUACAUGCAAGUUGAGCGCUGAAGGUUGGUACUUGUACCAACUGGAUGAGCAGCGAACGGGUGAGUAACGCGUGGGGAAUCUGCCUUUGAGCGGGGGACAACAUUUGGAAACGAAUGCUAAUACCGCAUAAAAACUUUAAACACAAGUUUUAAGUUUGAAAGAUGCAAUUGCAUCACUCAAAGAUGAUCCCGCGUUGUAUUAGCUAGUUGGUGAGGUAAAGGCUCACCAAGGCGAUGAUACAUAGCCGACCUGAGAGGGUGAUCGGCCACAUUGGGACUGAGACACGGCCCAAACUCCUACGGGAGGCAGCAGGAGGAAAUCUUCGGCAAUGGACGAAAGGCUGACCGAGCAACGCCGCGUGAGUGAAGAAGGUUUUCGGAUCGUAAAACUCUGUUGGUAGAGAAGAACGUUGGUGAGAGUGGAAAGCUCAUCAAGUGACGGUAACUACCCAGAAAGGGACGGCUAACUACGUG
This 497-nucleotide ribosomal RNA is filed under the name uncultured bacterium. RNAcentral's name for it is "partial 16S ribosomal RNA". It matches the Rfam family "Bacterial small subunit ribosomal RNA", at positions 28 to 507 of the family's 1533-position model. The record is from RNAcentral.